This 576-nucleotide ribosomal RNA is filed under the name uncultured eukaryote. RNAcentral describes it as "SSU rRNA". It matches the Rfam family "Eukaryotic small subunit ribosomal RNA", at positions 203 to 784 of the family's 1831-position model. The record is from RNAcentral.
UAUUUAUUAGAUAAAAAACCAAUGCCCUUCGGGGCUCCUUGGUGAAUCAUAAUAACUUAACGAAUCGCAUGGCCUUGCGCCGGCGAUGGUUCAUUCAAAUUUCUGCCCUAUCAACUUUCGAUGGUAGGAUAGUGGCCUACCAUGGUAUCAACGGGUAACGGGGAAUUAGGGUUCGACUCCGGAGAGGGAGCCUGAGAAACGGCUACCACAUCCAAGGAAGGCAGCAGGCGCGCAAAUUACCCAAUCCCGACACGGGGGGGUAGUGACAAUAAAUACUGAUACAGGGCUCUUUUGGGUCUUGUAAUUGGAAUGAGUACAAUUUAAAUCCCUUAACGAGGAACAAUUGGAGGGCAAGUCUGGUGCCAGCAGCCGCGGUAAUUCCAGCUCCAAUAGCGUAUAUUAAAGUUGUUGCAGUUAAAAAGCUCGUAGUUGAACCUUGGGCCUGGCUGGCCGGUCCGCCUCACCGCGUGUACUGGUCCGGCCGGGCCUUUCCUUCUGGGGAACCUCAUGCCCUUCACUGGGCGUGUUGGGGAACCAGGACUUUUACUUUGAAAAAAUUAGAGUGUUCAGAGCAGG